AAUGAACGCUGGCGGCGUGCCUAACACAUGCAAGUCGAACGAGAAAGGGUAUUUCGGUACCCGAGUAAAGUGGCGUACGGGUGAGUAACGCGUGGGUGACCUACCCUGGGAUCUGGGAUAACACUGCGAAAGUGGUGCUAAUACCGGAUACGAUCCUGCAGCGAUGCAGGGUGAAAGUCGGCCUCUCGAAGAAGCUGAUGUUCUGGGAUGGGCUCGCGUCCUAUCAGCUAGUUGGUAGGGUAAUGGCCUACCAAGGCGACGACGGGUAGCUGGUCUGAGAGGAUGAUCAGCCACACUGGCACUGAAACACGGGCCAGGACACCUACGGGUGGCAG
Molecule: ribosomal RNA, 335 nt
Filed under: uncultured Pseudomonadota bacterium
Lineage: Bacteria; Pseudomonadati; Pseudomonadota
Description: bacterial SSU rRNA
Rfam family: Bacterial small subunit ribosomal RNA
Source: RNAcentral